AUAUUCACCUGGCAGGGGAGAUACCAUGAUCACGAAGGUGGUUUUUCCAGGGUGAGGCAUUGCACUCUGGAUGUGCUGACGCCUGCAAUUUCCCCAAAUGUGGGAAAAUCAACUGCAUAAGUUGUGGUAGUGGGGGGUCG
Molecule: non-coding RNA, 140 nt
Organism: Myotis brandtii (Brandt's bat)
Lineage: Eukaryota; Metazoa; Chordata; Mammalia; Chiroptera; Vespertilionidae
Source: Rfam